CCUACGGGUGGCAGCAGUGAGGAAUAUUGGUCAAUGGGCGGAAGCCUGAACCAGCCAAGUAGCGUGAGGGAUGAAGGCCCUACGGGUUGUAAACCGCUUUUGCACGGGGAUAACACCCUCCACUUGCGGAGGUCUGCAGGUACCGUGCGAAUAAGGGCCGGCUAAUCCCGUGCCAGCAGCCGCGGUAAUACGGAGGUCCCGAGCGUUAUCCGGAUUCAUUGGGCUUAAAGGGAGCGUAGGCGGCCGUUCAAGUCAGCUUUAAAAUGGCGCGGCUCAACCGCGCCCCGCAGUUGAAACUGGACGCCUUGAGUGCACAACAGGCAGGCGGAAUUCGUGGUGUAGCGGUGAAAUGCAUAGAUAGCACGAGGAACCCCGAUUGCGAAGGCAGCCUGCCGGGGUGCGACUGACGCUGAGGCUCGAAGGUGCGGGUAUCGAACAGGAUUAGAUACCCUGGUAGUC
Molecule: ribosomal RNA, 459 nt
Filed under: uncultured bacterium
Lineage: Bacteria
Description: partial 16S ribosomal RNA
Rfam family: Bacterial small subunit ribosomal RNA
Source: RNAcentral